UUAUCGGAUAGAGGGUACUCUAGGGAUAACAGGCUUAAGUUGUGUUAGAGUCCUCAUCGCACACUUCAUAUUGGCACCUCGAUGUCGGCUUAUCUUUACCUUACUUCGCACUAUACUUAAAGGCAGAAGUGCUCAUUCUUUUUUGGGAUACGUGAGCUGGGUUCAAAACGAUGUAAAUCAGUUUGGUCUUUAUCUUU
This 197-nucleotide ribosomal RNA is filed under the name Thalassionema nitzschioides. RNAcentral describes it as "partial Bacterial large subunit ribosomal RNA". It matches the Rfam family "Bacterial large subunit ribosomal RNA", at positions 2449 to 2643 of the family's 2925-position model. The record is from RNAcentral. RNAcentral also lists the same sequence under 1 other name. Lineage: Eukaryota; Bacillariophyta; Fragilariophyceae; Thalassionematales; Thalassionemataceae.